GCGCCCGUAGCUCAGUGGUAGAGCAUCCGCCUUUUAAGCGGGUGGCCGCGCGUUCGAAUCGCGCCGGGCGCACCA
RNAcentral lists this transfer RNA (75 nucleotides) under Elusimicrobia bacterium GWA2_64_40. Its description in RNAcentral is "tRNA-Lys". It matches the Rfam family "tRNA". From Rfam's summary of the family: Transfer RNA (tRNA) molecules are approximately 80 nucleotides in length. Their secondary structure includes four short double-helical elements and three loops (D, anti-codon, and T loops). Further hydrogen bonds mediate the characteristic L-shaped molecular structure. tRNAs have two regions of fundamental functional importance: the anti-codon, which is responsible for specific mRNA codon recognition, and the 3' end, to which the tRNAs corresponding amino acid is attached (by aminoacyl-tRNA synthetases). tRNAs cope with the degeneracy of the genetic code in two manners: having more than one tRNA (with a specific anti-codon) for a particular amino acid; and 'wobble' base-pairing, i.e. permitting non-standard base-pairing at the 3rd anti-codon position. The record is from RNAcentral. Lineage: Bacteria; Pseudomonadati; Elusimicrobiota. RNAcentral also lists the same sequence under 4 other names.